CAAGUUAAGUUCUAGGAAUAUUAUUAUUUACAAUAAUGAUUAGGAUUGUGCAAUUCAUCCUAACUUGA
RNAcentral lists this transfer RNA (68 nucleotides) under Homoeocerus unipunctatus. Its description in RNAcentral is "tRNA-Val". The record is from RNAcentral. Lineage: Eukaryota; Metazoa; Arthropoda; Insecta; Hemiptera; Coreidae.